CAUAGGUUAAUGAGGCGAACCGGGGGAACUGAAACAUCUAAGUACCCCGAGGAAAAGAAAUCAACCGAGAUUCCCCCAGUAGCGGCGAGCGAACGGGGAGCAGCCCAGAGCCUGAAUCAGUGUGUGUGUUAGUGGAAGCGUCUGGAAAGGCGCGCGAUACAGGGUGACAGCCCCGUACACAAAAAUGCACAUGCUGUGAGCUCGAUGAGUAGGGCGGGACACGUGGUAUCCUGUCUGAAUAUGGGGGGACCAUCCUCCAAGGCUAAAUACUCCUGACUGACCGAUAGUGAACCAGUACCGUGAGGGAAAGGCGAAAAGAACCCCGGCGAGGGGAGUGAAAAAGAACCUGAAACCGUGUACGUACAAGCAGUGGGAGCACAGAGCAAUCUGUGUGACUGCGUACCUUUUGUAUAAUGGGUCAGCGACUUAUAUUCUGUAGCAAGGUUAACCGAAUAGGGGAGCCGAAGGGAAACCGAGUCUUAACUGGGCGUUAAGUUGCAGGGUAUAGACCCGAAACCCGGUGAUCUAGCCAUGGGCAGGUUGAAGGUUGGGUAACACUAACUGGAGGACCGAACCGACUAAUGUUGAAAAAUUAGCGGAUGACUUGUGGCUGGGGGUGAAAGGCCAAUCAAACCGGGAGAUAGCUGGUUCUCCCCGAAAGCUAUUUAGGUAGCGCCUCGUGAAUUCAUCUCCGGGGGUAGAGCACUGUUUCGGCAAGGGGGUCAUCCCGACUUACCAACCCGAUGCAAACUGCGAAUACCGGAGAAUGUUAUCACGGGAGACACACGGCGGGUGCUAACGUCCGUCGUGAAGAGGGAAACAACCCAGACCGCCAGCUAAGGUCCCAAAGUCAUGGUUAAGUGGGAAACGAUGUGGGAAGGCCCAGACAGCCAGGAUGUUGGCUUAGAAGCAGCCAUCAUUUAAAGAAAGCGUAAUAGCUCACUGGUCGAGUCGGCCUGCGCGGAAGAUGUAACGGGGCUAAACCAUGCACCGAAGCUGCGGCAGCGACGCUGAUGCGUUGUUGGGUAGGGGAGCGUUCUGUAAGCCUGUGAAGGUGUGCUGUGAGGCAUGCUGGAGGUAUCAGAAGUGCGAAUGCUGACAUAAGUAACGAUAAAGCGGGUGAAAAGCCCGCUCGCCGGAAGACCAAGGGUUCCUGUCCAACGUUAAUCGGGGCAGGGUGAGUCGACCCCUAAGGCGAGGCCGAAAGGCGUAGUCGAUGGGAAACAGGUUAAUAUUCCUGUACUUGGUGUUACUGCGAAGGGGGGACGGAGAAGGCUAUGUUGGCCGGGCGA
Molecule: ribosomal RNA, 1292 nt
Filed under: Escherichia coli
Lineage: Bacteria; Pseudomonadati; Pseudomonadota; Gammaproteobacteria; Enterobacterales; Enterobacteriaceae
Description: partial 23S ribosomal RNA
Rfam family: Bacterial large subunit ribosomal RNA
Source: RNAcentral